RNAcentral lists this long non-coding RNA (339 nucleotides) under Elaeis guineensis (African oil palm). Its description in RNAcentral is "long non-coding RNA (EGUI_LNC045842)". Lineage: Eukaryota; Viridiplantae; Streptophyta; Magnoliopsida; Arecales; Arecaceae. The record is from RNAcentral.
UACCUAGCCAAUUUGAAAGAGUGGGUCUUGAAUUAGGUCGCUUAGCGGUUGGGUUUAGCCCAUGCCAGUUAGGUCGAUCAUAUGAUGACUGAUUAGAUGAGACCUAAAUCAAAAUCUCUUCAUAAAUAUUAAGUCCAUGGGUCUUCCAUCAUAGUAGACGUGUGGACGUACUACCGACAUUGAUUAUUCUCGACUGGUUACAGUGGUUUAGUUGCAUCGAAAAUAUGCAAUCACUCUAUUAGUAAAGAGUUACUCCAGGAUAAAGAUGGGGUUGGGCUCAAUAACUGUUAGGUGAGGAACCCAAUGACGGCCUUGCACCUGCUUGUGAAUGGUGGAUCG